UUGGAGGGCAAGUCUGGUGCCAGCAGCCGCGGUAAUUCCAGCUCCAAUAGCGUAUAUUAAAGUUGUUGCAGUUAAAAAGCUCGUAGUUGAAUUUCGGGAUCAGCAUGUCGGUCGUGCCUCUGGUACGUACUGGUAUCGUUGAUUUCUACCUUCUGACGAACCGUGAUGUCAUUAAUUUGGUGUCAUGGGAAAUCAGGACUGUUACUUUGAAAAAAUUAGAGUGUUUAAAGCAGGCACACGCUUGAAUACAUUAGCAUGGAAUAAUGAAAUGGGACGUUUGAUCCUAUUUUGUUGGUUUCUAGGAUUGACGUAAUGAUUAAUAGGGAUAGUUGGGGGCAUUAGUAUUCAAUUGUCAGAGGUGAAAUUCUUGGAUUUAUUGAAGACUAACUACUGCGAAAGCAUUUGCCAAGGAUGUUUUCAUUAAUCAAGAACGAAAGUUAGGGGAUCGAAGACGAUCAGAUACCGUCGUAGUCUUAACCAUAAACUAUGCCGACUAGGGAUCGGAUGAUGCUAAUUUUUUAAUGACUCAUUCGGCGCCUUACGGGAAAC
This 549-nucleotide ribosomal RNA is filed under the name uncultured Glomeromycotina. RNAcentral's name for it is "SSU rRNA". It matches the Rfam family "Eukaryotic small subunit ribosomal RNA", at positions 548 to 1098 of the family's 1831-position model. Lineage: Eukaryota; Fungi; Glomeromycota. The record is from RNAcentral.